GAUGAAGAACGUAGCGAAAUGCGAUACGUAAUGUGAAUUGCAAAUUCAGUGAAUCAUCGAGUCUUUGAACGCACAUUGCGCCCCCUGGUAUUCCGGGGGGCAUACCUGUCCGAGCGUCAUUGCUGCCCUCAAGCACGGCUUGUGUGUUGGGCCCCGUCCUCCGAUCCCGGGGGACGGGCCCGAAAGGCAGCGGCGGCACCGCGUCCGGUCCUCGAGCGUAUGGGGCUUUGUCACCCGCUCUGUAGGCCCGGCCGGCGCUUGCCGAUCAACCCAAAUUUUUAUCCAGGUUGACCUCGGAUCAGGUAGGGAUACCCGCUGAACUUAAGCAUAUCAAUAAGCGGAGGA
RNAcentral lists this unclassified non-coding RNA (345 nucleotides) under soil metagenome. Its description in RNAcentral is "partial contains 5.8S ribosomal RNA, internal transcribed spacer 2, and large subunit ribosomal RNA". The stretch from base 1 to 119 matches the Rfam family "5.8S ribosomal RNA", at positions 35 to 154 of the family's 154-position model. The record is from RNAcentral.